This is a long non-coding RNA of Alligator mississippiensis (American alligator), 550 nucleotides long. RefSeq lists it as uncharacterized. NCBI's taxonomy places the organism in Eukaryota, Metazoa, Chordata, Crocodylia, Alligatoridae. The transcript is spliced from 2 exons. The record is from RefSeq and is a predicted model, not a curated record.
UCAGUUGGACUGAGUAAUCGGGACAGCUCACAAAUCUCAGAAGCAAGCGAGAGCAGAAUCUGGAGCCUGCUCUUUGUGUUUCAGCAACUCCCACCCCACAUAUAUUUGCAAACAGAUACUGAGAAGUCUGAAAGAGAAUACUUAACAUCUUAAAUCAACUGGAAGGCGUCUAAAGCAAGGGAUUGAAACGUCUGCUUUCAUUCCUAGAAAGAGGCAAAUAACUGCUUCCAGAAGCUCAGCACAAUGGUUCUGAAAUAGACACUGCAACAAUAAAUGGAGAAUACAUCAGCUUGAUUGAAACAAUAUUUGUAACGGGAGCAAAUAACACCCUGUGAAAUGGGGGACAGUUGAGGAAUAUAUUUGCGGUUCAGGUCUCUCUCUCAAAGGAAGGGUGAAAGUCUGGAUGAAUGAAGUCCUAUAAGCUUUGGAGUUGCUGAGGCCAAGUGUCACGUGUUGAGUAAAGCAGGAUCACAUUGCAUUUUUCUUUCGGGGUGUGUAGUACUUUAAUUGAACUGUGGUUGUAAACGAAUAAAUAACACUUUAAAUUACA